GCUAGGAUGAACGCUAGCGACAGGCCUAACACAUGCAAGUCGAGGGGCAGCACAAGGAGCAAUCUGAGGUGGCGACCGGCGCACGGGUGAGUAACACGUAUGCAACCUGCCUGUAAGCGGGGAAUAACCCGUUGAAAGACGGACUAAUACCGCAUAAUACUAAAUUACUGCAUGGUAAUUUAUUUAAACAUUUAUGGCUUACAGAUGGGCAUGCGCAUGAUUAGCUAGUUGGAGAGGUAACGGCUCCCCAAGGCAACGAUCAUUAGGGGUUCUGAGAGGAAGGUCCCCCACACUGGUACUGAGACACGGACCAGACUCCUACGGGAGGCAGCAGUGGGGAAUAUUGGUCAAUGGACGAGAGUCUGAACCAGCCAAGUCGCGUGCAGGAAGAAUGUCCUUAAUGGAUUGUAAACUGCUUUUGCAGGGGAAUAAAGUGCAUCACGUGUGAUGUUUUGUAUGUACUCUGCGAAUAAGGAUCGGCUAACUCCGUGCCAGCAGCUGC
This 502-nucleotide ribosomal RNA is filed under the name uncultured bacterium. RNAcentral's name for it is "bacterial SSU rRNA". It matches the Rfam family "Bacterial small subunit ribosomal RNA", at positions 26 to 518 of the family's 1533-position model. The record is from RNAcentral.